RNAcentral lists this ribosomal RNA (309 nucleotides) under uncultured eukaryote. Its description in RNAcentral is "partial 18S ribosomal RNA". It matches the Rfam family "Eukaryotic small subunit ribosomal RNA", at positions 1470 to 1796 of the family's 1831-position model. The record is from RNAcentral.
CCCUUAGAUGUUCUGGGCGGCCCGCGCACUACAUUGGCACUGUCAGCAAGGGCCUGAAACUAAAACUUUUGGGUAUUCUGAGAACCGGUGUCGUGACUGGGAUUGACCCUUGCAAUUAUUGGUUAUGAACGAGGAAUUCCUUGUAAUCGCGGUUUAUCAGCCCGCGUUGAAUGCGUCCCUGCCCUUUGUACACACCGCCCGUCGCUCCUACCGAUGAAUCGUCCGGUGAAGUUCAUGGAGUAGUGGUUGUUCCAUCCGCUGUCGAAGUGAAAUAAACCUCAUGAUUUAGAGGAAGGAGAAGUCGUAACA